Molecule: ribosomal RNA, 671 nt
Filed under: Klebsiella pneumoniae
Lineage: Bacteria; Pseudomonadati; Pseudomonadota; Gammaproteobacteria; Enterobacterales; Enterobacteriaceae
Description: bacterial SSU rRNA
Rfam family: Bacterial small subunit ribosomal RNA
Source: RNAcentral
CCUGGGGAGUACGGCCGCAAGGUUAAAACUCAAAUGAAUUGACGGGGGCCCGCACAAGCGGUGGAGCAUGUGGUUUAAUUCGAUGCAACGCGAAGAACCUUACCUGGUCUUGACAUCCACAGAACUUUCCAGAGAUGGAUUGGUGCCUUCGGGAACUGUGAGACAGGUGCUGCAUGGCUGUCGUCAGCUCGUGUUGUGAAAUGUUGGGUUAAGUCCCGCAACGAGCGCAACCCUUAUCCUUUGUUGCCAGCGGUUCGGCCGGGAACUCAAAGGAGACUGCCAGUGAUAAACUGGAGGAAGGUGGGGAUGACGUCAAGUCAUCAUGGCCCUUACGACCAGGGCUACACACGUGCUACAAUGGCAUAUACAAAGAGAAGCGACCUCGCGAGAGCAAGCGGACCUCAUAAAGUAUGUCGUAGUCCGGAUUGGAGUCUGCAACUCGACUCCAUGAAGUCGGAAUCGCUAGUAAUCGUAGAUCAGAAUGCUACGGUGAAUACGUUCCCGGGCCUUGUACACACCGCCCGUCACACCAUGGGAGUGGGUUGCAAAAGAAGUAGGUAGCUUAACCUUCGGGAGGGCGCUUACCACUUUGUGAUUCAUGACUGGGGUGAAGUCGUAACAAGGUAACCGUAGGGGAACCUGCGGUUGGAUCACCUCCUUACCUUAAAGAA